RNAcentral lists this ribosomal RNA (424 nucleotides) under uncultured bacterium. RNAcentral describes it as "partial 16S ribosomal RNA". It matches the Rfam family "Bacterial small subunit ribosomal RNA", at positions 359 to 776 of the family's 1533-position model. The record is from RNAcentral.
AAAUUUGGACAAUGGCCGCAAGCCUGCUCCAGCCAUGCCGCGUGCGUGAUGAAGGCCUUCGGGCUGCAAACCUCUUUCGGACGGAAUGAAAUCGCGCAUGCUAAUACCCUGCGCGGAUUACGGCCCCGUCAUAAUCAGCACCGCUCCACUACGUGCCAGCAGCCGCGGUAAUACGAAGGGUGCGAUCGAUAAUCGGAAUUACGUGGCGUAACGCGAGCGCAGGCGGGUGAUUAAGACAGGCGUGAAAUGCCCGGGCGUAACCUGGGAACUGCGCUUGGGAGUGGUCAGCUAGAGUACGGCAGAGGGGGGUGGAAUUCCACGUGUAGCAGUGAAAUGCGUAGAGAUGUGGAGGAACACCGAUGGCAAAGGCAGCCCCCUGGGCCGAUACUGAAGUGCAUGCACGAAAGCGUGGGUAGCAAACAGG